UGGGACUAUUUGACCUUAAAAUAGGCUG
Molecule: non-coding RNA, 28 nt
Filed under: Rattus norvegicus (Norway rat)
Lineage: Eukaryota; Metazoa; Chordata; Mammalia; Rodentia; Muridae
Source: RNAcentral